AAUUAUUGGGCGUAAAGAGCUCGUAGGGCGGUCUGUCGCGUCUGCUGUGAAAUUCCGAGGCUCAACCUCGGGCUUGCAGUGGGUACGGGCAGACUAGAGUGCGGUAGGGGAGAUUGGAAUUCCUGGUGUAGCGGUGGAAUGCGCAGAUAUCAGGAGGAACACCGAUGGCGAAGGCAGAUCUCUGGGCCGUUACUGACGCUGAGGAGCGAAAGGGUGGGGAGCAAACAGGCUUAGAUACCCUGGUAGUCCACCCCGUAAACGUUGGGAACUAGUUGUGGGGUCCUUUCCACGGAUUCCGUGACGUAGCUAACGCAUUAAGUUCCCCGCCUGGGGAGUACGGCCGCAAGGCUAAAACUCAAAGGAAUUGACGGGGACCCGCACAAGCGGCGGAGCAUGCGGAUUAAUUCGAUGCAACGCGAAGAACCUUACCAAGGCUUGACAUACACCAGAACGGGCCAGAAAUGGUCAACUCUUUGGACACUGGUGAACAGGUGGUGCAUGGUUGUCGUCAGCUCGUGUCGUGAGAUGUUGGGUUAAGUCCCGCAACGAGCGCAACCCUCGUUCUAUGUUGCCAGCACGUUAUGGUGGGAACUCAUGGGAUACUGCCGGGGUCAACUCGGAGGAAGGUGGGGAUGACGUCAAAUCAUCAUGCCCCUUAUGUCUUGGGCUUCACGCAUGCUACAAUGGCCGGUACAAUGGGCUGCGAUACCGCGAGGUGGAGCGAAUCCCAAAAAGCCGGUCCCAGUUCGGAUUGAGGUCUGCAACUCGACCUCAUGAAGUCGGAGUCGCUAGUAAUCGCAGAUCAGCAACGCUGCGGUGAAUACGUUCCCGGGUCUUGUACACACCGCC
RNAcentral lists this ribosomal RNA (849 nucleotides) under Actinomycetes bacterium. Its description in RNAcentral is "bacterial SSU rRNA". It matches the Rfam family "Bacterial small subunit ribosomal RNA", at positions 549 to 1394 of the family's 1533-position model. The record is from RNAcentral. Lineage: Bacteria; Bacillati; Actinomycetota; Actinomycetes.